CAUAAGCGGAGGAAAAGAAACUAACAAGGGAUUCCCUAGUAACUGCGAGUGAAGCGGGAAAAGCUCAAAUUUAAAAUCUGGCGGUCUCUGGCCGUCCGAGUUGUAAUCUAGAGAAGUAAUGCCCGUGCUGGACCGUGUAUAAGUCUCCUGGGAUGGGGCGUCAUAGAGGGUGAGAAUCCCGUCUUUGACACGGACUACCAGUGCAUUGUGGUAUGCUCUCAAAGAGUCGAGUUGUUUGGGAAUGCAGCUCAAAAUGGGUGGUAAAUUCCAUCUAAAGCUAAAUAUUGGCGAGAGACCGAUAGCGAACAAGUACCGUGAGGGAAAGAUGAAAAGAACUUUGGAAAGAGAGUUAAACAGUACGUGAAAUUGCUGAAAGGGAAACGCUUGAAGUCAGUCGCGUUGGCCGGGGAUCAGCCUUGCUUUUGCAUGGUGUACUUUCUGGUUGACGGGUCAGCAUCAAUUUUGACCGCUGGAAAAAGACCUGGGGAAUGUGGCAGCUUCGGCUGUGUUAUAGCCCCUAGUCGCAUACAGUGGUUGGGAUUGAGGAACUCAGCACGCCGCAAGGCCGGGUUUCGACCACGUUCGUGCUUAGGAUGCUGGCAUAAUGGCUUUAAGCGACCCGUCUUGAAACACGGACCAAGGAGUCUAACAUGCCUGCGAGUAUUUGGGUGGAAAACCCAAGUGCGUAAUGAAAGUGAAAGUUGAGAUCCCUGUCGUGGGGAGCAUCGACGCCCGGACCAGAACUUUUGGGACGGAUCCGCGGUGGAGCAUGUAUGUUGGGACCCGAAAGAUGGUGAACUAUGCCUGAAUAGGGUGAAGCCAGAGGAAACUCUGGUGGAGGCUCGUAGCGAUUCUGACGUGCAAAUCGAUCGUCAAAUUUGGUAUAGGGGCCGAAGACUAAUCUGACCCUUCUAGUAGCUGGUUCUUGCCGAAGUUCCCC
RNAcentral lists this ribosomal RNA (940 nucleotides) under Agaricus julius. Its description in RNAcentral is "partial large subunit ribosomal RNA". It matches the Rfam family "Eukaryotic large subunit ribosomal RNA", at positions 45 to 972 of the family's 3401-position model. The record is from RNAcentral. Lineage: Eukaryota; Fungi; Basidiomycota; Agaricomycetes; Agaricales; Agaricaceae.